Molecule: long non-coding RNA, 1664 nt
Organism: Lagenorhynchus albirostris (white-beaked dolphin)
Lineage: Eukaryota; Metazoa; Chordata; Mammalia; Artiodactyla; Delphinidae
Exons: 7
Source: RefSeq, a predicted model, not a curated record
UUGUAGGGCGACACCGGCGCCACGUGGCCGGCCCCCACCAGCGCGGAGGGCGGCUCCGACUUGCGCCCGGAGGCCCCGGCCUCGGCGCCGCCAUGCGCACCCGGCUCCCCACCGCUGCCUCGGCUCACGGCCGCGGGCUCCGGGCUGGGCUUGGGCUCCUGGUCUUUCUUGUCCAGCUCCCCGCCGGCGCCCCCGCCGCCGGUCUUGCAGUCAGAGUGGUGCGGGGAGCCGCCCCGGGAGCCGCCGGGGGAGGACGAGGACGACGACGCCGAGACCGGCGCUCCAUGCGGGGGAAAGGGCGUGCAGGCGGCGCUAGGGACCCUGAAGCCCGCCUUGUCUCCCGGGGACAAGGAGGAGGAGGAGGAGGUGGAGGACACGGAGGAGGAGCCGCUGUCUUUGCGAGAGUCGCCGCCUCCGGAGCCCUUGGAGUAGGGCUUGAAGCUGGACUUGUCCUCGGCCGGGGAGUCCCCCAGCUGCUUGAGCGCCGCAGACGCGGAGGCGGCGCCCGAGGCCGAGCGGCCAGGGUCCUUCUCCGCUCCCAGCCCGUUGGCCGCCGCUACCGAGUUGAGCUUGGACGAGGGCGGCGGGUCCGGCUUGCCGAUCUGCGAGCAAGUCUGGGCCAGCAACGCCAAAGGACUCUUCUUGGCGUCCAGCUGUGGGAGACAGUGCAGCACGCGGCAUGCGGAACUUCCGGGACCAGAGAUCCAACCCACGGCCCCUGCGGUGGAAGCACCGAGUCUUAACCACCGGACCGCCAGGGAAGUCCCUCCGCGUUUUUUCAUCUAUAAAGUGGAGAUUAUAAUAAGUUAGGAGGGGAGAACAGCAUCGAAUCUUCUGAUUCAUCUGCCCACAGGGCUUAGCAGACUGGCCGACUGGAGGAGAAACACAUACAUGGUCAUAGAAAACUUGGAAAACAGAAACCCACAACGAUGGGAGGAAAAAGCAGCCGUAAUCCGAGAUAACUGCUGUUAACAUACUGAAGUCCCUCGCUGCAUUUUGUCAGACUAUGGGUGUGUAUGUAUGUACGUACGUAAGUAUAAAUGAAAGAGUGAAAAAAGAAAGGAAGGAAAGAAAGAAGGAAGAAAGAAAGAGAGAAAAGGAAGAAAGAAAGGCAGAAAGAAAGAAAGGAGGAAAGAAAGGAAGGAAGAAAGAAAGAAGAGAAAGGAAGGAAGAAAAGAGAGAAUCAAAUAGAAUCAGAGCUUUGCUUUCUGCCCUGGAAGCUGCUCUCUGCCCACAUCUCCUCUCAUGGGAUUCCUGGUAGAGCUCAAAGCCUUCGCAGAAGGCAAGCUGGGAUGGGAUUGGCGCUUAGAUUUGUGAAACCCACAAUGCUGCCUACAGGUGGUAGAAGGAGACGGCCCCAUUCUUCAGACUGAUGUUCCUCUUGCCGUGGGGGUGAUGGACCCCGGACAGGAGGCAGUGGCUACCGAAGCAGGGCCUGACUGUGUCCAGGGGCAAGGCCCCGCGCCCGCCUCUGUUGGCAGGGGAAGGAGGGCCCUUGGGCUUGCAGCUCCCAGCCUGGGCCUCGCCCUCCGUCCGGGCCUGCCCUGGGCUGCUCUCUAUGGCGUGCAAUGUACCUGCUGCCUUUCUAAGACUUGACUCACCUUGUCCAAACAUGGGGAAGCUCAUUACAUAAGGGAAACGGUCUCCAAUUUGCUAGGCGAGAA